RNAcentral lists this long non-coding RNA (3946 nucleotides) under Ananas comosus (pineapple). RNAcentral's name for it is "long non-coding RNA (ACOM_LNC012590)". Lineage: Eukaryota; Viridiplantae; Streptophyta; Magnoliopsida; Poales; Bromeliaceae. The record is from RNAcentral.
UGGAUAACAACUUUUCCAACCCAAAAAUUACAAGUAAAAUGGAUGGGUACUCAUUAAGUUGUGGGCAUUUUGGAUAAUCCGCGGGUACCCACGGUAUAUGCACAUAUAUUUUUUAAUUAAAAAAUAUAUUUUUUAAAUUAAAAAAUAUUUUUUUAUUUAUUCAUCUUAAAAAUUCUAAUUCUAAUUUCUUAUCGCAUGUCUUUUAUAUUAUGAAAAUUUUUUACUUUAAAACUUUAAAUAUUUUUAUUGUAUGUUAUGAUAUUAUAAAUAAUGAGUUAUGUUACGUCUUUAAAACUUAUAUAUAUAGUUCAGCUAUGGUGCUUGUAAGUUUUUUACCCUUAUAUUUGCUUCUCGGAUCAUUUUCAACCAUUAGAUUAUACUAUUCAACCAACCACCCACUCAACCCUAGGGGGCCCACAUCAUCCUAACCGCAUAUCUCUUAAUCCAAUAGCUAAAAAUCUACAAGCACCAAUAACUUGGUACUUUUAAAAGCAUAGGAGCUCAAUUAUAUAUAUAUAUAUAUAUNUAUAUAUAUAUAUAUAUAUAUAUAUAUAUAUAUAUAUAGAGUUGAUCUAGGAUACUUUUACAAGUAUCAUCCUCAUGUUGCUAUCACGUUUUUAGCCAUUGAAUCUACUUUUUGAUUACAAAUAGCCCUUGGAUCAAACACUAUUCCACCUACCACCACCUACCACCACCUACCACCAUCAUCUCAACCUCACAUCUUUCCAUCCAAGGGCUAAAAACACACAAGUAUCACUUGGGUGAUACUUGUAAAAGUAUUCUAGCCCUACUCUAUAUAUAUAUAUAUAGAGAGAGAGAGAGAGCAGUUUUUGAUGUGCUCCUGAGUCGUUUUCGAUGAUGGGACUCCCGAAUCGACGAUCGACUCCUCUAGACUUGAUCUAGCAUAUUUGAAGUAUGUAGAAAAUAAUUUUUGUGAUUUUUCGAUAUUGUUUACUUAGUGAUCGAAAAGAUUGUUGAUUUUGAACCCUUUCGAUCACUAAGUAAACGAUAUCGAAAAAUUACAAAAUUUAUUUUCUAGAUACUUCAAAUAUGUUAGAUCAAGUAUAGCGGAGCCGAUUGCAGAUUCGGUCUGCUUUUUUAGCAAACUGACUAAAAUAUCCUUAUACCUUUUUCUCUCUCCUUUUUUUUUCUCUCGUUUUUUUUUUUCUCUUCCUAAAGAGCGGGCGCAGACCCCCACCUUCCUCGCCUCCGACCUCGCCGAGGCCGUGCCGCGACUCUUUUUUUUUUUUUUUUUUUUUUUUCUCCUCCNNNNNNNNNNNNNNNNNUUUUUUUUUUUUUUUUUUUUUCUCUCUUCGACUCUCCUCCACUGUCUCCGACUACGACGCCUCUCUUGCCCUCCUCCGCCCUUUUCGUCAUCUCCCUCUCCUUCUUCCUCUGCCGACUCCGACGACGAUGCAUCUUCGCCGGCGCUGACGCCGGCGCCGACACCGUGGAGGUCACUGCGGCGCUGCAGCCUCGGAGCGGGGGGUCCUUAGCGGCAUCGUCGUCGGCGUCGUGGCCGUUGGCAGAGAGGGGUGACCAAAAAAAUUAUAAAAGAAGCAAGAAAAAAAAAGAUAAAAAAUUAUAGAAAAAGAAGAAUGAAGAUGAAAUUGCAUCGUUAAUUGAAAAAAAAUUAUAAGUUACAUUACUUAAAAUAUAAACUGCAGCUUUAAGAUGAAAAUUACACUUUUAAAAUAAAAAUUACACUCUUUGGGAGAUAUUUACACUAUUUUUCCUCUUAUUGCACUCUUUCAGAUGUAAACUGCAUCAAUUAAUUAAGAUGAAAGUUACACUCUUUAAACAAAAGUUGCACUGUUUCUCCUCUUGUUGCACUAUUUUUUCUUUUAUUACACUAUUUUUUAUCUUAAACUGCACCCCUUUAAGAGAUAUUUAUACUGUUUCUACUCUUGUUGCACUGUUUCUCCUCUUAUUGCACUAUUUCUCCUCCUGUUACACCGUUUUUAUCUUAAACUGCACUUUAAGAGGAGAAACAGUGUAGAGAAAAAAUAGUGCAAUAAAAGAAAAAACAGUGCAAUAAGAGGAGAAACAGUAUAAAUAUCUCUUAAAUUGGUGCAGUUUAAGAUAAAAAAUAAUGUAAUAAGAGAAGAAAUGGUGCAAUAAGAGAAAAAAUAGUACAACUUUUAUUUAAAGAGUAUAAUUUUCAUCCUAGUGGUGCAGUUUACAUCUGAAAGAGUGCAAUAAAAGGAGAAACAGUGUAAAUAUCUCCCAAAGAGUAUAAUUUUUUUUUAAAGAGUGUAAUUUUUCAUCUUAAAGCUGCAGUUUAUAUCUUAAGUAGUACAACUUAUAAUUUUUUUUGCAGUUAACGAUAUAAUUUCAUGUUCAUCCUUCUUUUUCUAUAAUUUUUUAUUUUUUAUUUUUUUUUACUUUUUUUAUAAUUUUUUUUGGUCACCCCUCUCCACGGCGCCGGCGACGAUACCGCUAAGGACCCCCCGCUCCGAGGCUGCAGCGCCGCAGUGACCUCCACGGUGUCGGCGCCGGCGUCGGAGGCGUCAUCGUCGGAGACAGUGGAGGAGAGUCGAAGAGGAAAAAAAAAAAAAAAGAGUCGCGCCGCGGUCUCGGCAGGGUCAGAGGCGAGGAAGGUGCAGGGGUGUGCAGGCGAGGAUAAGGAUGCGUCGGCAUAUUGUCGGCGUCGGCGAAGAUGCGUCGUCGUCGGAGGCGGCAGAGGAGGAAGGAGAGGGAGAGGACGAGAAGGGCGGGGAAGGCGAGAGAGACGUCGUCGUCGGAAACGGUGGAGGAGAGUCGGAGAGGAAAAAAAAAAAAGUCGCGGUGCGGCCUCGGUAGGGUCAGAGGCGAGGAAGGUGCGGGGGUGUGCGGGCGAGGGUAAGGAUGCGCCGGACAAGCCGCUUCCUCCGCCUCCGCCUCCGCGGCUCUAUGGGAAGAGAAAGAAAAAAAAGAACGAGAGAAAAAAAAAAGGAGAGAGAAAAAGGUAUAAGGGUAUUUUGGUCAGUUUGCUGAAAAAGCGGACCGAAUUUGCAAAAACGAAAAAAAUGGCCCGGUUUUGCAAAAGCCCCAAAUAAGUGGAUUUUUUAUGCAAAUUGGCCUAAAAAGUAUAAGAGUAAAAAUGAAAAAAAAAUUAUGGAUAAUCCGCAUACCCAUCCGCCUGCCCGUGGGUGGGUAUGAGUAAAGAUAUUUGUUAUCUAAAAAUUUGUGAGUAAAUUUUAUUCAUGCCCAAGUAAUUCACCGGUACAAUGACUCGCUCGUGGGUUAUCCAACCCGUCCGUUUACCAGUUAUAAUUAUUGAUUAAGAAACAAGAAAAAUGUACGGAAACCCUCUACAUUCUGCACAAUUCUAUAAUAGUUAACUAAACAAAAAAAAAUUUAAGGUGUUCCACUCGCCUAACCAUUCAAUGAUGAUAUGAAAGGCGUAUAAAAUAAGACUUUAUUUGGAAUUACUGGUUGGUAAUAUUACCUGUAAAAAAAUAUGAUAAAAUAUAUUUUAUUCGUUGAGCAUGUCACAAUAAUAUUAGUAAGAUAUAUUUUAUUUUUGUAGGCCUCCUUUGUAAAAGAAAAUCUAGUUUAAUAUUUAAUUAAAAUAAUAUUAGAAAGAGUGAUUUGUUUGAUAAUUGUAAUUUUUAAAUAAAAAAUGAUAUUUACUAUAAUAAAACUUUGUUAACAAUAAUAAUAUUAAUAUAUAUAUAUGGAGUAGGGCUAGAAUACUUUUACAAGUAUCACCCAAGUGAUACUUGUGUGUUUUUAGCCAUUGGAUCUACUUUUUGAUUACUAAUAGUCCUUAGAUAAAACACUAUUCCACCUACCACCACCUACCACCACCUACCACCAUCAUCUCAACCUCACAUCUUUCCAUCCAAGGGCUAAAAACACACAAGUAUCACUUGGGUGAUACUUUUACAAGUAUUCUAGCUCUACUCUAUAUAUAUGAUUGGAUUAUUACUUAAAAAAAAUUUAAAAUAUUCUGAUCUUUGAU